Molecule: ribosomal RNA, 201 nt
Filed under: uncultured bacterium
Lineage: Bacteria
Description: partial 16S ribosomal RNA
Rfam family: Bacterial small subunit ribosomal RNA
Source: RNAcentral
GUCUGCAACUCGACUACAUGAAGCUGGAAUCGCUAGUAAUCGCGAAUCAGAAUGUCGCGGUGAAUACGUUCCCGGGUCUUGUACACACCGCCCGUCACACCAUGGGAGUCAGUAACGCCCGAAGCCGGUGACCCAACCAGUUCAGGAGGGAGCCGUCGAAGGUGGGACCGAUAACUGGGGGUGAAGUCGUAACAAGGUAGC